RNAcentral lists this ribosomal RNA (254 nucleotides) under uncultured bacterium. RNAcentral's name for it is "partial 16S ribosomal RNA". It matches the Rfam family "Bacterial small subunit ribosomal RNA", at positions 524 to 776 of the family's 1533-position model. The record is from RNAcentral.
UACGUAGGGGGCAAGCGUUGUCCGGAAUCAUUGGGCGUAAAGCGCGCGUAGGCGGCUCGAUCAGUCUGCUGUGAAAGUCAAAGGCUCAACCUUUGAAUGCCGGUGGAUACUGUCGAGCUAGAGUCCGGAAGAGGCGGGUGGAAUUCCUGGUGUAGCGGUGGAAUGCGCAGAUAUCAGGAGGAACACCGGUGGCGAAGGCGACAUCCUGGACCAAUACUGACGCUGAGUGAGCGAAAGCCAGGGGAGCAAACGGG